GGCUCCCAAAAGUUAUUCCGAUAGAUAAUGACAAGGCAAAAGAUUUUGUUACCACAGCAUAGAAAGAUUUGGAUUGCUUUUUUUUUUUUUUCAGAUAGAGAAAAGCAAGAGGCAAAAAUAACUGAAAAUGACAUAACAUAAAAUCACUUAUAGCUGGCUAUGGAAUUCUGAGCAAGCCAAAUAGAUAAACACACAGCCAAAGAUGUCUUCUGUUCCUAGUCUAGACUCCAUUUAGACUCAUUUAUAGAAAGGAAAAUUAGUAAAAGCCUGGAAGACUUGGUUGCAAGUUCUGAUUGUGUGAUUUCUGAGUGUUUGAUCCUGAGCAACUCAUUGAAUUUCUUAGAGCUUCCACUUUCCCAUAUAAGGUGUGUGUGAGGAAAAAUAGCUCCACCCACCUUCCCAGCAUCCACUAUGGCCCGGAAUUUCCUAAGGACCACAUAAAUUCUGUUGUCAAUGUAGGCUUCACUUCUGGCUUCAAGCUAAACGUCUCCUGCACCCUGAUGUCAUUCUGAACAUAAUUCAGUGUGUUCUGAGAGUGCGCCAUUGCUAAGGAGGGAGGAGCUAGAUCAACUUAAAAGGCUACAUCCGGAACAAGGAAGGGCUGUGACUCCCAGGACAGAGAGAGAGCAGUUGCAGGAGGUCCUUGCUGGGAGGAAAAGACAGUCUCAGAGACGUCAAGUGACUUGCUUAGGAUCACCCAGGUGGGAAGUGUUAAAAGGAAGAUCUGCAGCCAUAUCCUCUAACUCUCUCAGAGCUCUUCAUACCACCAUGCUGUUUUCAUAGGGGCACUGUGAUCAUCAUCAUCAUCCUUAUCAACAUUCACAUAAUUUGUGUUAAGUGCUGGCAAAACAAAGGCUUAAACAAGCUGCUCUGCUUUCAAAAAAAAGUUUGAAAAAAUCCUUUAUAUGUUUGGUUCCAUUUUAAUCUCAAAAGAUCUGUAUGAGGGAAGUAUUGCAGGUCCUACUAGGCCCAUUUUAUCCACAGUGAAACUGAGGCUGAGAGAGAUGAACUGACUUAUG
This 1019-nucleotide long non-coding RNA is filed under the name Monodelphis domestica (gray short-tailed opossum). RNAcentral describes it as "lncRNA (ENSMODG00000039778.1)". The record is from RNAcentral. Lineage: Eukaryota; Metazoa; Chordata; Mammalia; Didelphimorphia; Didelphidae.